UCAAUUUUCAACAAUUUUUAUAAAAUUUGUAAAUUUUUACUAAAAUUUUCUACUGAAACUACUGGGCCAAGUUCAUUAUAGAUAGAGAUAAUUGUAAGCUGCAAGGAUGUUCAGUAAAGUAAGAUGUACAAACACAUCACCAUCACCAAAAUACAAUUUUGUCAUGAAUCCAUCUGCUUCCUUUUUUUAAUAGUCACAUAGACCAAGGUGAGCGACACAGGCUCUUUAGAGCCUCUAGUUCUAGUUUCCAGACAAUAACUAGUGUGUAAGGGUAUGGAUCUCUCUGAAAUUGUACCACAAUGUUCCUUAUAACAAAGAGAAGAAUGGGAUUGUGAGUUUGGGAUUAAUUGCCCCAGACAUGUAGGCAUUAGGAGCCAAAAAAGGGCCAAAAAGAAGCAUUUUUCUAGUUUCAGAAAAUAACUUGUGUUUAAGCGUAUGGAUCUUGCUGAAAUUUUACUACAAGGUUCCAUACUACAAAAAAAGGCUGGCACUGAGUUUUGGGGUUAUUGCUCCAAAGGGGGUUUUCAAUAAGUUAAGGAGGGGGGGAUUUACAAUUUUUUAAGGGGAUGCAUAUAUUUUUUUCUCUUCAAAUUUCAAAUUUUUGAAAAGUUUUAAAGAUGAAAUCUUCAAUUUCACACUGACAGUAACGAGCAAUAGAUUUGCAAAGUUUUUUACCACAUUUAUUUUGUGUCAGAAACUUAUUAUGUCAAAAAUUUGACCACAAUCCAAAAUCAGACAGUAUCAAUCUUGAAUGUUUUUGUCCAUACUUGCCCAACUGUAAAGGGUUCGACCUCUGCGGUCGUAUAAAGCUGUGCCCUGCGGAGCAUCUGGUUAUUAAUCAUUUACAUAUAUAAUUAUAAGCCAUUUGUAAAAGUCUUAUAAAAUCAUAUUUUUUUU
Molecule: long non-coding RNA, 897 nt
Filed under: Mytilus galloprovincialis (Mediterranean mussel)
Lineage: Eukaryota; Metazoa; Mollusca; Bivalvia; Mytilida; Mytilidae
Source: RNAcentral